Molecule: ribosomal RNA, 450 nt
Filed under: uncultured bacterium
Lineage: Bacteria
Description: partial 16S ribosomal RNA
Rfam family: Bacterial small subunit ribosomal RNA
Source: RNAcentral
GUGGGGAAUAUUGGACAAUGGGCGAAAGCCUGAUCCAGCCAUGCCGCGUGUGUGAAGAAGGUCUUCGGAUUGUAAAGCACUUUAAGUUGGGAGGAAGGGCAGUAAGUUAAUACCUUGCUGUUUUGACGUUACCGACAGAAUAAGCACCGGCUAACUUCGUGCCAGCAGCCGCGGUAAUACGAAGGGUGCAAGCGUUAAUCGGAAUUACUGGGCGUAAAGCGCGCGUAGGUGGUUUUGUAAGUUGGAGGUGAAAUCCCCGGGCUCAACCUGGGAACUGCCUGCAAAAAUGCAGGACUAGAGUACGGUAGAGGGUAGUGGAAUUUCCUGUGUAGCGGUGAAAUGCGUAGAUAUAGGAAGGAACACCAGUGGCGAAGGCGACUACCUGGACUGAUACUGACACUGAGGUGCGAAAGCGUGGGGAGCAAACAGGAUUAGAUACCCCGGUAGUCC